This 2769-nucleotide long non-coding RNA is filed under the name Coturnix japonica (Japanese quail). Its description in RNAcentral is "lncRNA (ENSCJPG00005017257.1)". The record is from RNAcentral. Lineage: Eukaryota; Metazoa; Chordata; Aves; Galliformes; Phasianidae.
CGCGCCGACACAUCCCCGCCCGCCUCGGCGAGACCGGGCGGCCCCGACGGGCUGCGGAAGGCGGCCGCUCCCCGCGGUGGGUGCCCACGGCACUUCGCGGCGGUCCUCCGGCCGCAGAGCCGCCUCCGGGCGCCGACGGAGCGCCCUCCGCCGCCUCGGGGUGCCCGACGGCGCGCCCCGGUGCCCGGCAGCCCCCGGCCUCAGGCGGCAGAGUGGGCAUGUGCGGCGCUUUCCGCACAUGCCCAUUAGGGAGGCCGGGAGUCUGCGGUGGGGCCGCGCUUGCCCGGGUUCACCGUACCCGGGACCUCCGGGUAUCCCCUGGGCGGCUCCGGGCUCCAGCGGUGCCUCCCGGCGCGGGGCACGGUCUCCCCGUAAACCACGUGUUGAGCUUAAGGACCAGAGCGGGUGAAAACGUGUGUUUCUGACAAGGGGCAAAAGGCUGUUCGGGUUCCUGGCGCUUGUCAGCUGCCCCGGGCUCUUAGCUGUCAUCUCUUAGGUGCUGAUGUGCGGGCCCCGCUGCUGCCUGGCCUCCUGCGUGCCGGUGGGCGAAGGGGAAGUUUCAUUCUGAGGGUGUUACACCCGUUACGCUGUGUGAGCAGCAGCGGCUCCGUGGUGCGGUUAUUGGUGGGCUGACUGACGUCGUCCCUCCCUGUGCAUCUCUACAGUGUCUGACCCGAGAUCUUACUGUCAUACAGAGAGCUGCCUUGCCACCAUACCUGCUUCUUCCUUCACAACAAGGUUGUGCUUGAAGGGCUCCUGUGGAAGAAAAAGCUGAGAAGUGCUGGAGGAGGGGUUCCUGAUGGGUGACUUCAGAUGAGCAUGGAGGGCCUCUGGGAAAGGAAAGGUGGCGGAGCAGCUGGGAUGGCCACAGGAGUUAACAGGGGAGCAGAGUCAAAGGUCUCCCUAAUUCCAGGCUGGAUCCUGUCGCAGAGGGAAGAUUACCCAAAAGUACUGUUCCCUUCACUGAUGCAUACAACACAGGGAUGGCAAUCUGCUUAUGAUGAAAAGGGCGUUACAGAAACACCACAGGAAAUAAAUUCAAGAUGGCUGUUUCCAUACCUCCUGAGACAGGCGACUGGCGCAAUCAGCCUUGUUGAAAUUCCUCCUCCCGUGUCUGUGAGCCCCUAGCGUUCAUCGAAUGGAAGGGAGAAAAAAGGGUACUUGGGUCACUUGAGGACUGUGCAGACUUUCCAUUACUGGAGGAUAUUAAAGGCAGCGGAAUGAAUUGGAAAGCUGUGACCCGAGCAUAGCUAAUCCCACUUUGGGGCAGAAGGAUGGAUGAGGUGUUCCUGUGAUGUCUCAGUCCACCAGUGCUAUUUUCUGUGACUCAAGAGUAGGUUAGGUGUUCCACACACAUAUCUGAUAAAGUAAAAUAGUCUGCGACUUGUGAAUGCAGAGACAUUUAUUACUGAGAUGGAAGACAGCUCCCUAGCUCACCUACAAGAGCAGAAAUCACAGGCUUGUUGGUAGUCCCUGGCACAGCAGCCAAGCUGUAGAGGCAGCACCGGUCAGUCUAUCUCUCACCUGUUAAUGCUUUGCAUUCUGACUUUGAUGCCCUUUGUAGCCUUUGCCUCGGCUUUGUGUCUCUAAAGCUGUGAGUAAAGAGAAUUAUCUAAAUAUGAAUUACAGAUGUGCAGCUCUGGGACAGCACAGUCUGACUCAGAAUUUUCUUCAUGCUGCUCUGUCACGUUUGUCCACCUGCAUCUAGAUUGCAUAUUGAGUCAUAUUGACAGUGUAGUUGGCUAUAAAGUAAGAGACCUUCAGUAAAGGACAUUAAAAAAAAUCUCUUCUAUUUUUUUUUUUUUCCCCUCAGCUUUUCAGAGUGUGUGUGUGAACUGGUAUCAGGUUGGCUACGUUCUAAACUAUCACAGAUUUUCUACAUCAUAGACAGGACAAACCACAAGCACUGGUAGAAGUACAGACCAAGGGCUGAAAGCUCCAGGAAGCAGGUUUUGCCACUUCACCCCUUACCUUUGUUUCUCUAAGAUGGGGAUGAGAAAAGUUGCUUCUCACUGGGAGUGGAGAAAGCAGAAUCAGCAAUUUAUUGGCAUGUAGGAAAUACGAUGGGACUGUUGACCUGUGUAGUAUUCAGACCAGAGAAACUUUAUUCAUAAAAUCAUUCAUAACAUUCCCUUUGUUAUGCUUUAUCAGUUGUGUUUAAGUGCUGAAAUGUGCCAAGUGAUCCUAUGAAAAGUAAAAGGGAAGUGAGUUUUAGUUACUCUGUACUCAGCCCAUUUUCAGCUUCUGAGGAAAACACAGAUCCCAUAUAACCACUGUCAUAGCCAUGCCCCAGCCUCCUUUCUCAGCACACACCAGGCAAUUUCACCAGGUAAGUGCCUGACAAGAGUUUGGCUGUACUUCUGCACUGUUUCUCUGUCACAUCUUGAGCUGCUGCUGUCCUUUCUGUCUGUCACAAGCAUAUCUUUCUCCUGCAUUGCUGUAAGUACUUAGGAAGAAGUCUGUGUCUGCCUGCCUUCAGGAGAAAAUAGAAGAUCAAUUAGGAAUUUUAAGGAGCAAACUGAACAAGCAAAACGGGAGAUAUUAAAAGCAGGAGAUUGGCUAUUGGUACAUCCCUUAUGUUAAAUGUGAUCACUAGAGCACUUAAACAGCACUUGAAAAUGCCCUGUUACUUACUUACUUACUUACCCUGCAUUGCCAAGCAGAGAGUGUGCAGGGCGGUGGCUAAAGGUUUCUGAGGGCUGUGUUAGGGUAAGGCAUUAGCCUGUCUGGUGUUCUUUUUAAGUAAUAAAAAGCUUCCAUGACAAAACA